UACAGAGGGUGCGAGCGUUAAUCGGAAUUACUGGGCGUAAAGCGCGCGUAGGCGGUUUGUUAAGUUGGAUGUGAAAGCCCCGGGCUCAACCUGGGAAUUGCAUUCGAAACUGGCAGGCUAGAGUAUGGUAGAGGGUAGUGGAAUUCCGGGUGUAGCGGUGAAAUGCGUAGAUAUCCGGAGGAACAUCAGUGGCGAAGGCGGCUACCUGGACCAAUACUGACGCUGAGGUGCGAAAGCGUGGGGAGCAAACAGG
This 253-nucleotide ribosomal RNA is filed under the name uncultured bacterium. RNAcentral describes it as "partial 16S ribosomal RNA". It matches the Rfam family "Bacterial small subunit ribosomal RNA", at positions 524 to 776 of the family's 1533-position model. The record is from RNAcentral.